GUGUGGUGUCAGUGAUUUGAACAACUUCAGGCACAGUCGGUGCUUCAUCUUGAGUCAGCACGGCUUCUUCUUUAGCAACCCCACCUUUCGAUCUUGGAGGGAUGAUGCUACUCAAGUCGAGGUUCGGAUAUAAUUUUUCGACCACAUCUCGACCGUCUUCAUAUCCGACGCAGUACGAAGCAAAGCCACCUUUGAGGAUCUCUUCUUUGAAUUCUUUUAAACUCUAAAAAUCUUCGAUUGCCCGACUCAAUGCCUCCCUUGCUGACUCUGCUUCUGCCUUCGCCAAAUCAGCAUCCGCUCGAGCAAAGGAUGACUCUUCUUCGGCCAGUGCCAACCUUUCC
Molecule: long non-coding RNA, 341 nt
Filed under: Elaeis guineensis (African oil palm)
Lineage: Eukaryota; Viridiplantae; Streptophyta; Magnoliopsida; Arecales; Arecaceae
Description: long non-coding RNA (EGUI_LNC012111)
Source: RNAcentral